GGCCCAUUCGUCUAGCGGUUAGGACAUCGCCCUUUCACGGCGGUAACACGAGUUCGAGUCUCGUAUGGGUCACCACCAC
RNAcentral lists this transfer RNA (79 nucleotides) under Campylobacter insulaenigrae NCTC 12927. RNAcentral describes it as "tRNA-Glu". It matches the Rfam family "tRNA". From Rfam's summary of the family: Transfer RNA (tRNA) molecules are approximately 80 nucleotides in length. Their secondary structure includes four short double-helical elements and three loops (D, anti-codon, and T loops). Lineage: Bacteria; Pseudomonadati; Campylobacterota; Epsilonproteobacteria; Campylobacterales; Campylobacteraceae. The record is from RNAcentral.